GAGUUUGAUCAUGGCUCAGAACGUACGCUGGCGGCACGCCUAACACAUGCAAGUCGAACGAAGUAGCAAUACUUAGUGGCAAACGGGUGAGUAUGAUGUGGGUAUCUGCCCUUUGGUAUGGAAUAACACGAGGAAACUUGUGCUAAUACUGUAUAAGCCUUCACAGGGAAAGCUUUAUGCGCCAAUGGAUGAGCCUGCACUUGAUUAGCUAGUUGGUAAGGUAAUGGCUUACCAAGGCUACGAUCAAUAGCUGAUCUGAGAGGAUGAUCAGCCACAUUGGGACUGAGACACGGCCCAAACUUCUACGGAAGGCAGCAGUGGGGAGUCUUGCACAAUGGGGGAAACCCUGAUGCAGCGAUGCCGCGUGAGUGAAGAAGGCCCUUGGGUUGUAAAGCUCUUUCGUCGGGGAAGAAAAUGACUGUACCCGAAUAAGAAGGUCCGGCUAACUUCGUGCCAGCAGCCGCGGUAAUACGAAGGGACCUAGCGUAGUUCGGAAUUACUGGGCUUAAAGAGCACGUAGGUGGUUAAGAAAGUUGGUGGUGAAAUCCCAAGGCUUAACUUUGGAACUGCCACCAAAACUUUUUAACUAGAGUAUGAUUGAGGUAAGCGGAAUUUCUAGUGUAGAGGUGAAAUUCGUAGAUAUUAGAAAGAACACCAAUUGCGAAGGCAGCUUUCUGGAUCAUUACUGACACUGAGGUGCGAAAGCAUGGGUAGCGAAGAGGAUUAGAUACCCUCGUAGUCCAUGCCGUAAACGAUGUGUGCUAGACGUUGGAAAUUUAGUUUUCAGUGUCGCAGCAAAAGCGAUAAGCACACCGCCUGGGGAGUACGACCGCAAGGUUAAAACUCAAAUGAAUUGACGGGGACCCGCACAAGUAGUGGAGCAUGUGGUUUAAUUCGAAGAUACGCGCAGAACCUUACCAACACUUGACAUGUUCGUCGCGACUUUAAGAGAUUAGAGUCUUCGGUUCGGCCGGACGAAACACAGGUGCUGCAUGGCUGUCGUCAGCUCGUGUCGUGAGAUGUUGGGUUAAGUCCCGCAACGAGCGCAACCCUUACUUUUAGUUGCUACCAUUCAGUUGGGCACUCUAAAAGAACUGCCAGUGAUAAGCUGGAGGAAGGUGGGGAUGACGUCAAGUCCUCAUGGCCCUUAUGUGUUGGGCUACACACGUGCUACAAUGGUAUUUACAGUGGGAUGCAAAGAGGCAACUCCAAGCAAACCCUCAAAAAAUACCUCAGUUCGGAUUGUACUCUGCAACUCGAGUACAUGAAGCUGGAAUUACUAGUAAUCGCAGAUCAGCGCGCUGCGGUGAAUACGUUCCCGGGUCUUGUACACACCGCCCGUCACACCAUGGAAGUUGGUUACACCUUAAGGCAA
This 1375-nucleotide ribosomal RNA is filed under the name uncultured bacterium. RNAcentral's name for it is "bacterial SSU rRNA". It matches the Rfam family "Bacterial small subunit ribosomal RNA". The record is from RNAcentral.